UAGAUGGCGACCGGCGCACGGGUGAGUAACACGUAUCCAACCUGCCGAUAACUCGGGGAUAGCCUUUCGAAAGAAAGAUUAAUACCCGAUGGUAUAAUAAAGCCGCAUGGUUUAAUUAUUAAAGAAUUUCGGUUAUCGAUGGGGAUGCGUUCCAUUAGGCAGUUGGUGAGGUAACGGCUCACCAAACCUUCGAUGGAUAGGGGUUCUGAGAGGAAGGUCCCCCACAUUGGAACUGAGACACGGCCCAG
RNAcentral lists this ribosomal RNA (248 nucleotides) under uncultured bacterium. RNAcentral describes it as "partial 16S ribosomal RNA". It matches the Rfam family "Bacterial small subunit ribosomal RNA", at positions 85 to 334 of the family's 1533-position model. The record is from RNAcentral.